RNAcentral lists this ribosomal RNA (422 nucleotides) under uncultured bacterium. RNAcentral describes it as "partial 16S ribosomal RNA". It matches the Rfam family "Bacterial small subunit ribosomal RNA", at positions 360 to 774 of the family's 1533-position model. The record is from RNAcentral.
AAUUUUGGACAAUGGGGUCCACCCUGAUCUAGCCAUCCCGCGUGUGCGAUGAAGGCCUUCGGGUUGUAAAGCACUUUUGGCAGGGAAGAAAAGGCGCCGGUCAAUACCUGGCGCCGCUGACGGUACCUGCAGAAUAAGCCCCAGCUAACUACGUUGCAGCAGCCGCGGUAAUACGUAGGGUGCAAGCGUUAAUCGGAAUUACUGGGCGUAAAGCGUGCGCAGGCGGUUCGGAAAGAAAGAUGUGAAAUCCCAGGGCUUAACCUUGGAACUGCAUUUUUAACUGCCGGGCUAGAGUAUGUCAGAGGGGGGUAGAAUUCCACGUGUAGCAGUGAAAUGCGUAGAGAUGUGGAGGAAUACCGAUGGCGAAGGCAGCCCCCUGGGAUAAUACUGACGCUCAUGCACGAAAGCGUGGGGAGCAAACA